RNAcentral lists this ribosomal RNA (540 nucleotides) under uncultured Pseudomonadota bacterium. RNAcentral describes it as "bacterial SSU rRNA". It matches the Rfam family "Bacterial small subunit ribosomal RNA", at positions 867 to 1404 of the family's 1533-position model. Lineage: Bacteria; Pseudomonadati; Pseudomonadota. The record is from RNAcentral.
UACCGCCUGGGGAGUACGGUCGCAAGACUAAAACUCAAAGAAAUUGACGGGGGCCCGCACAAGCGGUGGAGCAUGUGGUUUAAUUCGACGCAACGCGAAGAACCUUACCUGGGUUUGACAUCUGUCGUAUCUCUUGGAAACUUGAGAGUGCUCCUUCGGGGAACGACAAGACAGGUGCUGCAUGGCUGUCGUCAGCUCGUGUCGUGAGAUGUUGGGUUAAGUCCCGCAACGAGCGCAACCCUUGCCUCUAGUUGCCAUCAUUAAGUUGGGUACUCUAGAGGGACUGUACCCGGUCAACGGGGAGGAAGGUGGGGAUGACGUCAAGUCCUCAUGGCCUUUAUAUCCAGGGCUACACACGUGCUACAAUGGUCGGUACAAAGGGCAGCUACCCCGCAAGGGCAAGCCAAUCCCAAAAAGCCGAUCUCAGUUCGGAUUGGAGUCUGCAACUCGACUCCANGAAGUUGGAAUCGCUAGUAAUCGUGGAUCAGCAUGCCACGGUGAAUACGUUCCCGGGCCUUGUACACACCGCCCGUCACACCA